AUUGAACGCUGGCGGCAUGCCUUACACAUGCAAGUCGAACGGCAGCACGGGUGCUUGCACCUGGUGGCGAGUGGCGAACGGGUGAGUAAUACAUCGGAACGUACCUUAUCGUGGGGGAUAACGCAGCGAAAGCUGUGCUAAUACCGCAUACGCCCUGAGGGGGAAAGCGGGGGAUCGCAAGCCCUCGCGCGAUUAGAGCGGCCGAUGCCUGAUUAGCUUGUUGGUGGGGUAAAAGCCCACCAAGGCGACGAUCAGUAGCUGGUCUGAGAGGACGAUCAGCCACACUGGGACUGAGACACGGCCCAGACUCCUACGGGAGGCAGCAGUGGGGAAUUUUGGACAAUGGGGGCAACCCUGAUCCGGCAAUGCCGCGUGAGUGAAGAAGGCCUUCGGGUUGUAAAGCUCUUUUGUCAGGGAAGAAACACCGGCUCUAACACAGUCCGGGAAUGACGGUACCUGAAGAAUAAGCACCGGCUAACUACGUGCCAGCAGCCGCCGUAA
Molecule: ribosomal RNA, 501 nt
Filed under: uncultured bacterium
Lineage: Bacteria
Description: partial 16S ribosomal RNA
Rfam family: Bacterial small subunit ribosomal RNA
Source: RNAcentral